AAUCCUGUGUUACCACGAAAAAACGUCAAGCAAGUAUUUCAAUUUUGAACUUCAAGCUUCCAAUUCCGAAUGACAAAUUGCGAUAAAUUAAAUUCGGGAAAAGAGUGACAAAUAAAAUAUGAAAUCUUGCAAAUUGAAGGGAAGAGAUAGAUUGAUAAUUUGAGGAUUGAGAUUGAGAUAAGAAUUUUGAGUGAAGAAAUGAAGA
This 205-nucleotide long non-coding RNA is filed under the name Nicotiana benthamiana. RNAcentral's name for it is "long non-coding RNA (NBEN_LNC006220)". The record is from RNAcentral. Lineage: Eukaryota; Viridiplantae; Streptophyta; Magnoliopsida; Solanales; Solanaceae.